AUUUAAUCCCACUUUUGU
This 18-nucleotide small RNA is filed under the name Arabidopsis thaliana (thale cress). RNAcentral describes it as "ATSL247990". The record is from RNAcentral. Lineage: Eukaryota; Viridiplantae; Streptophyta; Magnoliopsida; Brassicales; Brassicaceae.